UACGUAGGGGGCAAGCGUUGUCCGGAAUUAUUGGGCGUAAAGCGCGCGCAGGCGGUCUCUUAAGUCUGAUGUGAAAGCCCACGGCUCAACCGUGGAGGGUCAUUGGAAACUGGGAGACUUGAGUGUAGGAGAGGAAAGUGGAAUUCCACGUGUAGCGGUGAAAUGCGUAGAUAUGUGGAGGAACACCAGUGGCGAAGGCGACUUUCUGGCCUACAACUGACGCUGAGGCGCGAAAGCGUGGGGAGCAAACAGG
RNAcentral lists this ribosomal RNA (253 nucleotides) under uncultured bacterium. Its description in RNAcentral is "partial 16S ribosomal RNA". It matches the Rfam family "Bacterial small subunit ribosomal RNA", at positions 524 to 776 of the family's 1533-position model. The record is from RNAcentral.